Molecule: long non-coding RNA, 1088 nt
Filed under: Homo sapiens (human)
Lineage: Eukaryota; Metazoa; Chordata; Mammalia; Primates; Hominidae
Description: HSALNT0243629
Source: RNAcentral
GCAAGGCCGGCCGGCGCCGCGGAAAGCAGCCUCGGGGAAGGAGGAGGAAGAGGGGCAGGUGUAGGGAGUGAAGAAGCAAAAAGAGGAGGAGGAAGAGGAGCUCAGGGCCGUCCCCGCGCAAUUAAUGGGCGGCUCCUGCGCCCUGGACCGGCCCGCCCGCCCAGCCCCUCGACCCCUGUAGCCCCGGCAGGGGAGGAAGGGCAGACCCACAGGUCAGGGAUUAGGAAUCAUGUUGCAUGACGCAAGGGACAGGCAGAAGUUCUUCAGCGAUGUUCAGUAUCUGCGGGACAUGCAGCAUAAGGUGGACUCUGAGUAUCAGGGACGGAGGUGAGGGAUUCUCCUCCUGGCUCACCUUUGAGGUAUGUGUUGCUCUACUCUUCACAGCCAAAACAGGAAAAAAAACUAGCUGGAGGGGAAUACUAUCUCAAACUGUUUUUAUGCCUUUGAUUUCUUGACCUCUUAAAAUUAAUGAACUUUAAUAAUGUCACCGAGGACAAUUAAAAUGCCAGACUCUGGGGUAUGCAAGUCAGAUCGCAAGAACAACAACAAAAAGAAACCAACUGAAGGAAGUGGCAACUCCCACUUCUCAAAGUGCAUCCUGAGAUAGAGGAACAGAUGCCAUUCUGGCUGGAGAUGUAAAGUCGGGUCGUGGUUCUGAUGGCUUUAUACCAGAAUUAUGAGGCUGGGAAGUGUUCCUGGGGCACAUGGCUUCUGAAGUCACAUGAUGACUGGAGGGAUCAGAUUGAUAAUGAAAGAAACAAAAGGAACUUUGAGCACAACUAUGGACUCAGAGAGCUGUAAUGUCGAAGAGAAGCGGCUUCAUUGUGACCCUGAAUGACUGAGAGCAGGAGCUGCUCAGUUGGCUGGCUGGGGUAUAGGAAACAGACCUCUACUUACAGGGCAGAAAAACAAGGAUGAACCUCAGGACUAGACAGAAAGAUUCUCUCUUCUUCUGCAACCAACAUCAGAGUCAUAUGCUUUGGCAAAGGCUGACUUUAGAAAUAUAGAAGUAAACCAGGAAAUGGGAUUGAGAACAGCAGUUAAAAGGCUGUGACAGCUGCUGGUGGUGAUGGGAGUGGCAGUGGUGG